This 979-nucleotide ribosomal RNA is filed under the name Acinetobacter baumannii 756476. RNAcentral describes it as "bacterial SSU rRNA". It matches the Rfam family "Bacterial small subunit ribosomal RNA", at positions 8 to 981 of the family's 1533-position model. Lineage: Bacteria; Pseudomonadati; Pseudomonadota; Gammaproteobacteria; Moraxellales; Moraxellaceae. The record is from RNAcentral.
AGAGUUUGAUCAUGGCUCAGAUUGAACGCUGGCGGCAGGCUUAACACAUGCAAGUCGAGCGGGGGAAGGUAGCUUGCUACUGGACCUAGCGGCGGACGGGUGAGUAAUGCUUAGGAAUCUGCCUAUUAGUGGGGGACAACAUCUCGAAAGGGAUGCUAAUACCGCAUACGUCCUACGGGAGAAAGCAGGGGAUCUUCGGACCUUGCGCUAAUAGAUGAGCCUAAGUCGGAUUAGCUAGUUGGUGGGGUAAAGGCCUACCAAGGCGACGAUCUGUAGCGGGUCUGAGAGGAUGAUCCGCCACACUGGGACUGAGACACGGCCCAGACUCCUACGGGAGGCAGCAGUGGGGAAUAUUGGACAAUGGGGGGAACCCUGAUCCAGCCAUGCCGCGUGUGUGAAGAAGGCCUUAUGGUUGUAAAGCACUUUAAGCGAGGAGGAGGCUACUUUAGUUAAUACCUAGAGAUAGUGGACGUUACUCGCAGAAUAAGCACCGGCUAACUCUGUGCCAGCAGCCGCGGUAAUACAGAGGGUGCGAGCGUUAAUCGGAUUUACUGGGCGUAAAGCGUGCGUAGGCGGCUUAUUAAGUCGGAUGUGAAAUCCCCGAGCUUAACUUGGGAAUUGCAUUCGAUACUGGUGAGCUAGAGUAUGGGAGAGGAUGGUAGAAUUCCAGGUGUAGCGGUGAAAUGCGUAGAGAUCUGGAGGAAUACCGAUGGCGAAGGCAGCCAUCUGGCCUAAUACUGACGCUGAGGUACGAAAGCAUGGGGAGCAAACAGGAUUAGAUACCCUGGUAGUCCAUGCCGUAAACGAUGUCUACUAGCCGUUGGGGCCUUUGAGGCUUUAGUGGCGCAGCUAACGCGAUAAGUAGACCGCCUGGGGAGUACGGUCGCAAGACUAAAACUCAAAUGAAUUGACGGGGGCCCGCACAAGCGGUGGAGCAUGUGGUUUAAUUCGAUGCAACGCGAAGAACCUUACCUGGCCU